AGUGAACGCUGGCGGUAGGCCUAACACAUGCCAGUCGAACGGCAGCACAGUAAGAGCUUGCUCUUACGGGUGGCGAGUGGCGGACGGGGGAGGAAUACAUCGGAAUCUACUUUUUCGUGGGGGGUAACGUAGGGAAACUUACGCUAAUAACGCAUACGACCUACGGGUGAAAGCAGGGGAUCUUCGGACCUUGCGCGAUUGAAUGAGCCGAUGUCGGAUUAGCUAGUUGGCGGGGUAAAGGCCCACCAAGGCGACGAUCCGUAGCUGGUCUGAGAGGAUGAUCAGCCACACUGGAACUGAGACACGGUCCAGACUCCUACGGGAGGCAGCAGUGGGGAAUAUUGGACAAUGGGCGCAAGCCUGAUCCAGCCAUACCGCGUGGGUGAAGAAGGCCUUCGGGUUGUAAAGCCCUUUUGUUGGGAAAGAAAAGCAGCAGGUUAAUACCCCGCUGUUCUGACGGUACCCAAAGAAUAAGCACCGGCUAACUUCGUG
This 492-nucleotide ribosomal RNA is filed under the name uncultured bacterium. RNAcentral describes it as "partial 16S ribosomal RNA". It matches the Rfam family "Bacterial small subunit ribosomal RNA", at positions 29 to 507 of the family's 1533-position model. The record is from RNAcentral.